GAUGAACGCUGGCGGCGUGCCUAAUACAUGCAAGUCGAGCGAACAGAUGAGGAGCUUGCUCCUCUGACGUUAGCGGCGGACGGGUGAGUAACACGUGGAUAACCUACCUAUAAGACUGGGAUAACAUCGGGAAACCGGAGCUAAUACCGGAUAAUAUAUUGAACCGGAUGGUUCAAUCGUGAAAGACGGUUUUGCUGUCACUUAUAGAUGGAUCCGAGCCGGAUUCGCUGGUUGGGAAGGUAAAGGCUUACCCAGGCAACGAGGCAAAGACGACCCGAGAGGAUGAUCGGCAGCUCGGCAGAGAGGACGCGCUCCAAACCCGUACGGGAGGCACGAGUAGGAAACCUACGGCAAGGGGCAAUAGCCUAACUGAGCAACGCCGCGUGAGUGAGGAAGGUCUACGCAGCGUAAAACUCGGUUAUCAGAGAAGAACAAAGGUGUAUUUACCGAUGCAAGUCUGGACGUUACCGAAGCAGAAAGCCACGCCAAACUACGU
RNAcentral lists this ribosomal RNA (496 nucleotides) under uncultured bacterium. Its description in RNAcentral is "partial 16S ribosomal RNA". It matches the Rfam family "Bacterial small subunit ribosomal RNA", at positions 28 to 506 of the family's 1533-position model. The record is from RNAcentral.